RNAcentral lists this long non-coding RNA (240 nucleotides) under Fragaria vesca (wild strawberry). RNAcentral describes it as "long non-coding RNA (FVES_LNC002152)". Lineage: Eukaryota; Viridiplantae; Streptophyta; Magnoliopsida; Rosales; Rosaceae. The record is from RNAcentral.
CUUUGGCUAUUGGAGAAUAUGCUGGAGCUUUGGGUGUUGGGGAACAUGCCAGAGCUUUGGGUGUUGGGGAACAUGCCGGAGUUUUGGCUAUUGGAAAACAUGUUGGAGCUCUGACUACUUGAAAACAUGCUGGAGCUCUGAUUAGGGGAAAAGACUGGAGAGCUGUUAUGUACUCCUGAAGAGCUUUUUCCAUUGGAAGAUACUCCUGUAGAACUUUUGCUGGUAGAAAGCACUCCUGUG